RNAcentral lists this ribosomal RNA (409 nucleotides) under Verrucomicrobiota bacterium. RNAcentral's name for it is "Verrucomicrobia bacterium partial 16S ribosomal RNA". It matches the Rfam family "Bacterial small subunit ribosomal RNA", at positions 355 to 776 of the family's 1533-position model. Lineage: Bacteria; Pseudomonadati; Verrucomicrobiota. The record is from RNAcentral.
UGGGGAAUAUUGCACAAUGGGCGGAAGCCUGAUGCAGCGACGCCACGUGAGGGAUGACGGCCUUCGGGUUGUAAACCUCUUUCAGUAGGGACGAAGCGUAAGUGACGGUACCUGCAGAAGAAGCACCGGCUAACUACGUGCCAGCAGCCGCGGUAAUACGUAGGGUGCGAGCGUUGUCCGGAAUUACUGGGCGUAAAGAGCUCGUAGGCGGUUUGUCACGUCGUCUGUGAAAUCCUAGGGCUUAACCCUGGACGUGCAGGCGAUACGGGCUGACUUGAGUACUACAGGGGAGACUGGAAUUUCUGGUGUAGCGGUGGAAUGCACAGAUAUCAGGAAGAACACCGAUGGCGAAGGCAGGUCUCUGGGUAGUAACUGACGCUGAGGAGCGAAAGCAUGGGUAGCGAACAGG